CUUCAAAAUGAGAAAGGAUUUUAAUACAAAUAAUGGGGUUAUUUAAUACAUCAAACACGAUCCAGAAAGCUUUUUUUUGUGUAAAACCGUGUUACUGAAUCUAUAUAUAUAUAUAUAUAUAAAUGUAUGAUUCUAAAAAGAGGUCCAUCCAUCCUUUUCUGAUAAAUUUUCGUUACCAGAAAAUGCAACAAAAUGGAAAACAUGGAGAUGAUGACGUGUAAGGCUGUCAUGUCCACGAACGCCACGUAGGAUUCAAAGGAAGAUGGCUGCUGACAUGCCAAAAGCCACGCGUCAUGUCCAUGCAGCACACGUGGGCAUCCCUGCUGCUGACCGGGUCUGCUAUUAUGCUGACGUGGUAGUCUACGUGGCAGGGUAAACACAUGCCUAGUUGGACUUGUAAGCACAAACACACAACAUACAUAUAUAUAUAUAUAUAUAUAUACAUACAUUAGUAACCUUCAAAUUCUCGUCCCUUUCUUGUAUCUCGUUCCUUCCCAACUUUUUUUAUUUCAAGUUUUCCUUAGUUUAAUAUGAAUUGGUUUACUUAACUUUCUAAAUCAGUAGCUUAUUAAUUGGUAUAAAAUAGAUGAUACAUGAGACUUCAUUGCUAUUAUUUAUUAACUUAAUAAUUGAUACACUCGAUAAAAUUUUGAAGCAUGUAGCAUGAAAUGAUUCUAUAAUCUUCUAUUUCUUUAUUGUGUUAUCUUUUUUUUAAUCAUAGAAUGUACUAAGCAAGUUUUUAUUGAUGUUUUAACUUGUAUUCAGUAAUUUUGAGCUCCAUUCUUCUAUUGUUUCAAGAAGUAGAAUAAAAUAGUGAUUAUUUUAAAAAUAGGCUCCAUAACAUUAUUUGUUAUUGUUAUAUUUUUAUUAUUAUUUUAAAAUAAUAAUAAGAAUUAAUUGAAGAUAAAAAUUAAAGAUGUUGUAAAAGCAUGGAUAUUGUAAAGAUCAUUCUACAAGCAAAAAUAUGUCAAAUUAUGAUUUGGUAAAGCCAACUUCAUUUGGAGCCAUCAUGGGUUUGGCUUGAAUAUACAUUCUGAUUUUCAGGUUAGUUUUUAAGACUCCCACGCUGCACUAAUAAUAGGGUGGCAAUAAUACCAUGAAUUAUUCCUCAAACCAUUGAGCAUUUCAAGCCAAAGUGAUAUUUGAAACUGAUACACUGAAACAAUUAGUUCAUAGGCUGUAUACACUGCAUCUAAAUUAAGUGAUUCAGCACGCUUUGUAACUGUUUUAAAAUACAUAUAUUUUACA
Molecule: long non-coding RNA, 1248 nt
Filed under: Physcomitrium patens
Lineage: Eukaryota; Viridiplantae; Streptophyta; Bryopsida; Funariales; Funariaceae
Description: long non-coding RNA (PPAT_LNC003782)
Source: RNAcentral